RNAcentral lists this long non-coding RNA (4746 nucleotides) under Canis lupus familiaris (dog). RNAcentral's name for it is "lncRNA (ENSCAFG00000054188.1, ENSCAFG00845018014.1)". The record is from RNAcentral. Lineage: Eukaryota; Metazoa; Chordata; Mammalia; Carnivora; Canidae.
GAUCCAUUAGUAUUUGGUAACAGAUGUAGCUUUAUUCUUUUGCAGAUGGCUGGCCACUUUCCCAAUAUCAUUUUAUUGAGCAAUUCCUGUUUCUCCAUUGAUUUUAGCAUUACAUUUAUUAUAUACUAAAUUUUCUACAUAUAUUUAGAACUGGACUCUCUGUCCUCUCUUACUGUUCUAUUUGUAUAUAAUGUGCAAACACCAAUUGCUUAAUGUCGAAAUACAUUUAUAUAGCAACUGAGUUAUCCUCACUUAUUAUUUCUAUUUUUCUGAGCUUUUCUGGGUAUUCCCAUGGGUUCAUUUUUCCACAAAGACUUUCCCAUCUGUUUUUCUAAUUUAAAAUAUUCCACUGAUAUUUUACUUUGGAUUCUAUCAAAUUCAUUAAUUGGAAAACUGACAUCUUAACAAUAUUGAGACCUUCUCUUCAAGGAUAAGGUACGCCUUUUUUAUUCCAAAAUAGUUUCUUUAUAAAAAUCAUGCUGAUUUCUUGUUCAGCUUAUUGCCAACUAUUUUUUGGUUGUUAUUUAAAAUGUUAUCUUUUCUUCCAUUAUAUACUUUAAUCUGUUGGGUGUAUAAAUCUGGGGAAAUUGAAUAAUAGUCCCUAUGCUUUCUUAAACAGAAUAUGCCCAAUAUAAUUUAACUUUUUUCUUUUAACAUAACUUGCUAAAAUUAUGUAGACUACUAUGACUAAUGUGAUAAACUAUAACUAUGUAAAAUAUCAUAAUAGAUGCUAGAAGAUGAUGGAUAAAAUUUUUAUAGGUAAAGGUGUAUAUAUUGCAUAACCUGACAUCAAAAUCAGACAAAGAUAGUUUUGUCCAGUGUUAUUAAUGAAUCUCAUUGUUAAAAUUAAAAAAUAAAUUCUUGAAAUUUAAAUUCAGGAGUCUUCUAUCAUUUCGUUAAUUCUAAGCUAUAUAUUUUUUUUACAUUUUCAUGUCUUUGAAGAUGAAAAGCACAUUAUAAUUCAUAUGUAUAUCUUACAUAGUAAUGUUUCUUUUUCCUGUUGAAAGUUUCUUUACCAUAAUUGAUGACAUCUAAGACUUGAGAAAAUACAUUAUAGCCAUGUAGGUUUCCUACCCUCCCACUUCAGGAAAGCAAGGAUGGUUUAGUAUACUUAUUAUUAUGAUCAAUUUUAACUGUUGUUCAAAGAAUAAAAUGCAUGAAUUUAUUGAGAGAUGUUGAAAGAUUUGGAUAAGAUCUAACAUCUGAUUUUUUUAAAGUAACAUAUUAGAUAAAUAAUAAUACUUCACUACCAUCAUAAGAAUAUCUUAAGCCAAUUACCACCAUCAUUCUUAUAAGACAGUACAUACAAAUUUUACAUUAAAGUUAUUAAGAAAAAAUGAAGUCCUUCUAUCAUUGCAUGGAAUAAAUUUUUCUAUCAAUCUAGCUUAAGUUUUGUUGGAUUAAAAAAUGGUAUAAAAGUGCAAAGGAGGAGAAUAUGCAUUGUUUUAAGGUAUAUUCUUACUCUUUCUAAAUUAAAUUUUAAAGUAAAUUCAAUUAAAUUGAAAAAUGCAAAAAUCAAUAAAUUCCUUAUACUCUUGUAACCAUGUAGUCUGAAAGUGGAAUAAAUAUUGUUCAUGGCAACAGAAAUAAUUCUGAAAACCUAGGAAAAAACUUAGAAUGAGUGGGAACAAAUUGAAGAAAUUCAAAAAACUGCUAAAGACAUAAAAGCAACUUAAAGACAUAAGGAAUCAUAUUACUUCUUUAUAUAAAAAUCCCAAGUAUGUCACAUAUGCAGUUUUAAGGCACUUAGAACCUACAAAUGUUUAACAAUUUCCUAUUCUUUAUUCUGAUUUUAGGGCUUAAAAGCUUACUACUCAGCUGACUCAUUAUCAUUUAUCUGUGCUCACCAUUUUUGUCUAUUAAUGUUAGCAAUACUUUUUUGCUUCUCUCUUUUGCCUUUCACUAGAGGAAGACAAAUCAAACUGUGCAAUUUCACCAACGCUCUGAUCUACUACAGAGAUUGCACACAUCAUAUUCCUCAGAGUAGCAUUUUUAGGAUAGCUCUAACAUUGGAUACAAUGGGUGACCUAGAGAGAACCCUUUGUUGGAUGACAUGUGUUCAACAUGGUAGUCUGACAUCCUCUAGGAUUAUAGGCAUUACACAGGGCAUUCUUUGUGCCUUAAUCAUCAUAGCUGUUUGCUUUUUUUCUCUUUUGUCACUUGUUAUUCUCCAUUGUCAGAGUGUCUACUGGUUUCCAUGCCUGUUCUGCUUCUAAUUGAUGUCACCAUGCUGAUCACCAUCCUUCUCCUCUGCAUGUUUCAUAGUUUUUUGCAAAAGGCAGGCUUAGUAUUUCAUCAAAGGGCCCUUCCCAUCCAUGUGGCAGCUUUUAUCAGCUGCAUUUGGUGCUGUGCUGCUUCUUUGCUGCUAAAAAGUUUCAUGUAUUUUUCCAGCUAUUUAUGAGUUUGAAGGCUUUCUGGAAGUCUGGCUAUUCUAGAAAGCUGAAUUCUGGAUAGUAAAAGCUUCCAUGGAAUUGUCUUUACAGAUAAGAAAAAAUGCAACUUUUACUAUAAAUAGAAUGAAUGUGUUCAUUGGUAUCUGGACUUAAUUAAGAAUAAUUUUAAGAUGAAAAUCCCAAGAAUGUAUAGGAAGGGCAUGGAGGCUAAUCUUUUCUAGCAAGAAUUAUCUGUCAGCCGAUCAUGCUGGCCACUUUGUACAGUCAGUUCUCAUUGUUUAAGGUAUUCAUGUUCUAUAAAAUCACCACAACACUUGACGGGAUGAGCACUGGGUGUUAUUCUGUAUGUUGGCAAAUUGAACACCAAUAAAAAAUAAAUUUAUUAUUAAAAAAAAUCACCACAACCAUUGGAGAAUAUGGAACCACUGCUCCUAUGGGAAAUAUAGGGUUAGGUUCCUGUAAGCCUCUGUCACAACAUUUUUGUCAACUAAUCAAUACAUAGCUUUGUUAUACGGGUGUUUUUAUCUAAAAGCACCUUAUUCAAUAUAUAUUGUUCAUUGAUUUAUUGACAUGGAACUCAUGGCAAACAGGACUCUAGCUUAAGCCUGAGUGAAGCUUAUCUAACACAUGCAUUUUCUCCAAAAGGCACAUCAUACUCUUCUUGCAGUUAGAAACAUCAGACCAGCACUUCAACACUACGCUUGGACAUUUGGAAGACAAUUUGUGAAGCAGUGAAAUUACCAACAAAAAGCAAAAAUAAAUAAAUAAGUAAAUAAAUUAUCCAAAACUAUGGCACUAAAUAGACCAUGGAAGGACAACUUUUACAAAAUGAGAGGUGAAACAAGAAGGCAGAGCAUAGUCUCCUUUGACUUCAACUGUGAACGUCUGUCAGGCAACUCAAAUUUUUUACCAGUUCUUGUAUGUCCAUAAAUGACCAGGAGAGUGCCAUGAGCAUUGAUUUUGGAGUUACAAAUAAAUUUUGGCAAGUAGGUUAAUUCACAAUUACUGAAUCCAUGAAUAACAAGAAUAAUUUGUAUUUGGAAUUUCAUUUAAUAUUUUAAAAACUCUCAAGGAUAAAUCUUGGUAUCCUCAACUUACAGAAGCUUCAUAGUAGAGAAGUUUCAAGAAUAUGUUAAUAACCCGUGGUGCUUUUAUUUAAUUAUAAUACCCUAAUAAUUCUUCCCAUGACAGUUUUCCAAAUGUGAAUAAUGACCUUCUAAUUCAUUUUCUUUGAAGAAACUUGAAUAUAUUUGCAAUAUUUAAAUUGGAUGCAUGCUCAUCUAAAAACAAUAAAAUAGUGAUCUAUGUCAUUUUCUUGGGCUUCUUCUAAUCUUUGUAAGUAUUUACAGCAAUAAUACACAUGCACACAUUACUCCUGACUUUCUUUUUGGAAGAGUUUAAAAAUAUAAUUAUGGAAAGGCAAGAAUUAUGACCAGAGUUCUUAACUCAGGCUUCACAUGAGAAUCACUUGAGAAGUUAAAUAAGGAGAUAUGAAUGCCAAAUCCUAACCUGGGUCAAUUAAUGAAAAUCUCUGUGGGUGAGACCCAAGCAAUUAUAAUGUAUUAAAAAACAUUCAGGGGCACCUGAGUAGCUCAGUUGGUUAAGCAUCUGCCUUUGGCUCAGGUCAUGAUUCUGAGGUCCUAGGAUCAAGCCCUGUAUCGGACUCUCUGCUUAGUGGAGAGCCUGCUUCCCCCUCUUCCUCUUUCUGCCUGCUUGUGUGCUCUCUCUCUGUCAAAUAAAUAAAAUCUAAACAAAACAAAACCCCCAAAAUAUUCCAGAUUAUUUGAACGUGUGGCCAGAUUGAGAUCCAUUGACUUGCAGGGGAUGCAGAAACCAGGCAAGCCUGUUUACUUCAUUUUCUUCAAUGAGGAGUCCCGAAAGGUAUGGAAAAAAGGAUAAAAAUCCAUGAUAGAAUCAUAGAACUGGCUGAACAGUGGUGUAAAUGAUAAUCUAACACCACUGAAUUAAAUGGAAAGAAGAACCUUUGGAAUUUGGAAUCAAAAGAUUAUCAUGAUCCCUCCUUUUUUCCUCACCUUAGAUUAUGACCUAUAUAUGGGUCUUUGGUAGAAGUUUUACAAUCACAUCAAAAAAAUGGAAGAGAAGAUUCCAUAUCACUGUAAAUUCCCGAGGCAGGGACUAUACCUAUUUUGCUUGCCACUGAAUCUCCAGAGCCCAGCACAGUGUCUGGAAAAAAAAAUGUAUGUCUCAUUAAAUAUGUAUUGAAUAUAUUAGUAAUGCUUCGCAUUGUUCUGAGAAUGAGUGAGGCAGGGAUCUUGAAUCUUUGAUUAAUUCUCCAUUUAUUUAUUCACGGGUGGCAUCUCUUCUACAUGUAUGCAUGCCUUGUGUGUGUCUA